GGUUGUGGCUCAGUGGCAGAGCGCUUGCCUGGUGCACGUGAGGCCCUGGGUUCAAUCCUCAGCACCA
This 67-nucleotide transfer RNA is filed under the name Marmota monax (woodchuck). RNAcentral describes it as "tRNA.Thr". It matches the Rfam family "tRNA". Rfam says of the family: Transfer RNA (tRNA) molecules are approximately 80 nucleotides in length. Their secondary structure includes four short double-helical elements and three loops (D, anti-codon, and T loops). Lineage: Eukaryota; Metazoa; Chordata; Mammalia; Rodentia; Sciuridae. The record is from RNAcentral.